Small nucleolar RNA from Erinaceus europaeus (western European hedgehog), 107 nucleotides. Lineage: Eukaryota; Metazoa; Chordata; Mammalia; Eulipotyphla; Erinaceidae. The record is from Ensembl.
GCCCUUGUGUAAUUUUUAAGCACUAUGACUGGCUUUGCAUGCAGUUGUGUGAGAUGUGCUACAAAAACUCUAUUAUGAUGUUGGCUAGGCGCAUUACCAAUUUGAUG